Callithrix jacchus (white-tufted-ear marmoset) is the source of this 123-nucleotide small nuclear RNA. NCBI's taxonomy places the organism in Eukaryota, Metazoa, Chordata, Mammalia, Primates, Cebidae. The record is from Ensembl.
ACAAUCCUUUUCUUGGGGUUGCACUACUUUCCAGUGAAUGCAUAGUGACAGAAGUACUACUGCCUACACAACACACCUGCAUCAACUAGAGCUUUGCUUUACCUUGGUGCAAUUUUUGGAAAA